RNAcentral lists this long non-coding RNA (1919 nucleotides) under Panax ginseng (ginseng). RNAcentral describes it as "long non-coding RNA (PGIN_LNC006373)". The record is from RNAcentral. Lineage: Eukaryota; Viridiplantae; Streptophyta; Magnoliopsida; Apiales; Araliaceae.
AAAAACUCUUCUACUUCAAUAUUGUAAGUAUUUCUUUUGAGUAUAAGUAUACUUUAGUGUAGCUAAUAGUGCACGAUUUUCUCAAGAUAAUAUCCGUUAUACCAAGUCAGGUCUAGUUUUCUAUUAAGGUAAAUGAUAUUAUUUUCUUUCAAUACUCAUAAUGGGUAUCAUUUUCUUUCGUACUCCAUAUUAUGUAAGUGAUAUUAUUUCAUUUCAUACUCCUGAAUUUAAACUUACUAUGGUAAGUAUUGUUUCUAUAAUUCCUGAAUUGAUUAGAAAUUCCUUGAGGUUUGCGAUUCAUCUAAUAUCAUUUCACUGAAAUAUUGGUCUGAACUUUCUUAUUAAAUUUUAAUAUUUUCAUUUCGGGAUACUAUUCAUGCUGGGGUACUAUUCAUCUGGGCUACUAUUCAUACCAGAGUACUAUUCAUCUGGGGUACUAUUCAUGCAGGAGUACUAUUCAUGACGAAAUUUAGUUUUUUUUCUUGUCCAAAUUAUAUUUGAAAUAUGAAUCUUAAAUAUCAUUCUUGAAUUGUACUCCAUAAUUGGUGAUCAUAUCGAUAAUUUGGACAUUUUUGAACUCUAGAUAAAUUAAAUUAUAAAUCUCUAAUAUUUAUCAUUGAUCUCACUUGAGUCAUUCUUUAUAUCAUUGUCAUCAUUCUCAUGCUUAUAUUGUGGUGAAAGUUAUCUUUCGCCCGUAGUGCAAAGAUAGACUGUUGAUUGGUAUGAUUAUGACCAGGAAUUGUCUAUUGGUAUAAUCAUGACAUUUAAUGUUACAGAUAAAGGUUUGUGGUGAGAGUCCUCUUUGGCCCGUAGUGCAUAGAUGGACAGGUGUUUGGCAUGAUCAUAACCACUGGUGAUACAAACGAAUAUCUUUGGCCCGUAGUGCAUAGAUAAUUCGUUGUUUUAAAAUAAUUAUUGAUUUGUGUUAUAGGGAUAAAAUAUUGAUGAUGGACUUUUAAAUCAUAGAAAAUAGUAGGCAUCAUGCUCUACUUGACUCUUCUAAUGUGUUGCUAUUUCCACUACAAUUGUUGAUCUAAAACUUGUUGUCCAUUAUAUUUUAUCUGAUUUAUCAUUGUUGAAGGCUAAAGAUAAUUUAUUCCUCAUUGUCUUAGUCAUAAUAUUCUUUAUUAGGCUAGUUGAGCUCACCCUUUUUCCUUUUUGUUCCAUUGUUCUUCUCCGGAAAUGACAGUGUAGCUGGGACUAGUCGGGGAGUAGAGUAAUGGUCCGAGAUAGUUACUAUAGAAGUCUUUACUAUGUUCUGAAAUAGUGUGAUAAUAACUGUAAUAAAGACUUAAUUUGAGUUUGGAUGUUGUCGUAUUAUGUAUGAUGCAAUAUUCGUAUUCAAACUCACAGUAUGUGGUCAUAUUUUGAACGACAAUUUAAUAGUUAUAAAUAGAGAAGUUUGUUUUGGAAUUUUGUAGUAUGUAUUUGGCGACUCAAAAUGGGUUGUGUGGACCUAUUUUUGGGGGCGUCACAUGAACUGUUUCUCAAUUUCGUGUUUGAGAAAGUUAACGACGAUGAGAUUAGAUGUCCUUGUAAGAGAUGUGUGAAUGAAUUGUAGAAGGAAAUGAGUGAUGUCAUGUGCGACCUAUUUGCUUAUGGGUUCAAGCAGGGUUAUACGACAUGGAUCUAUCAUGGGAAACCUGGUUGGAUGAACAUGAAUCAGAACCGAAAUCCAAAGGUGUUGAAACCUUUAACUGUAUUAACAUGAUAGUCAAAGCUUCUAGUUCAUUCUUCUAAUGGAAUACAGACAUGGAUUACGGUAUCAUCGAGCAAGAGCAGAAUAGCGAGGCUAAGGGUUUUUAUGAGUUAUUGCAUGAAUCAGCGACUCCACUAUAUAACGAGCACGAAAAGCACACCGUCUUAUCCAUAAUGACUAAGCUUUUACACUUCAAGAACGAACAUGACUAUAGCGAGAG